UUGGGGAUGCUGGAUGGUACUGCAUCAGAUCAAUCCUAUUUGCAGCUAACUACGAACUACCUAAAACUGUUGUUGCCUUGCGGGAGCCUAUUUUUAAUGAUGCUGGCGUGGUUAUAUCUUGUGGGGCAUCUCUACGUUGGGAAGAUGGGAAAGUAGCAACCUUCCAUUGCUCCUUUUUGGGAAACUUGACAACGGAUGUUACUGCAAUAGGGACCAAAGGAACUCUUCAUAUCCAUGAUUUCAUCAUUCCUUUUCAGGAGCAGGAGGCCAGUUUUCAGACAAAUACAAAAGCUGGUUUUAAUGAGCUAGCGACCGGAUGGGUAUCAGUUCAAAGCGAGUGCACUGUUCCCACGGAUAUCCCCCAAGAAGGUUGUAUGGUGAGAGAGUUUGCUCGCCGAGUUGGAGAGAUCAAAAGAAAUGGUGCAAAGCCUGACAAAAAGUGGCCAACAAUUAGUAGGAAGACGCAACAAGUGAUUGAUGCAGUCAUGGCGUCAAUUCAGCACGGAUUUCAGCCUGUUGAAAUCGUGAAUUAAUCGAUACUUUUGUAUGGUGAAAGUAAGCAUUUGCAUUCUAAAUAAAGAAGAUAAACAUAUGUCUUUCUGAUUCCCACUAUAUGUAAGUAUAUAUCAUGUAAGAUUGUGACUUACUACAUUCACACGAAUAUCAGGUGUCCUUAUACUUUCUCUCUCAGAUUUACACUAUUUCGCUCUAUCUCCAGUCUUAUCUUGCGUUUGCAGUCGCCGUCGGAGUUCCAGAGUCUUCGUCUCUUUCCGUCGGUGAUCAUCUGCAAUGAUUUAUAUUUGGCAACACCGGCAGUCAGCUAGUAAAGAAAUAUUGUAGGUGAUGAUGCUAUUAGAUUGAAAUUAGGCCUUACAAAUUUUACAAUUUUUUUUUCUUUUUCUGGUAAAGAACAUCGAGUUCUAAUGACAUAUUUACGAACCUUUUAAAAUUUUAAAUUACAUAUCAUGAUAUCGAGUUUUGAUGCUUGAUUAUCCAGUUGUGCUGAUUUCUUCUCUUCCAUGUCAUUAACUUAUGCUCUGCUCUAUACUAGGGUUCGUUGAGUGCUUUGUUUUUUUUUUUAUGUUAUUUAAUCAAUUAAACAAUAUAUCAACCAAGUCUCGGCACAAGAAAACAGUCGGUUGAUGUUGUGAAAGCACCUCGAAGUUCAUUUACAUAUCCAGCUCUGCCCUCCGAGCUGCCGCCAUUAACGGAUCCGUGGAGCUUACAGAGUAACGUCGUGAAAAAUCUGAAGCCUUGCGACACGAAGGCGCACAAUCCUACUGCGCACCCGACCGUACUCGUUUUCAUUUCUUCUCCAUGCUGGUAGAUUAUAAUAACAGAGGCAACAAUUAUAUAUUAUACAUACAGUUCCCACUCGUAUAUAUUUUAAAAUAGUGUUCUUCGUUUUUUUCAGCGCGCAGAGAUUCAGAGAAUGAGUAUGCUGGAAGAGGACGGAUAUGCUUGACUUAUCCAAUUUCGUUGGGGUGCCACGUGGCAGAUUUUCAAAGCACGAGCUGGCAUCUUCUCGAAGAAAGUCUUUACCUGAUGCCGCCACGUGGCUGCCAUGUUGAGUGAAUGUAGAUAAGUUUCUAAAGUCUCCAAGCUGAAAAUUAUGAUUAUUUUUAUAACAAAUUAUAAAAUUAUAAAAUUAACAUUUAAAUUAAUUAAGAGAAAUUAUAAAUUUUAAUAAAAUAAUUAAAAGCUGAGUAAUAAUUAAAAAAAAUUAUUUGGAAUAAAUCUUAAGAAUUUUUAGAUAUUCUAUAAAUGGAUUAGUUUAAGUAUCAGAAUAAAUGGAUUUUUUUUUAUUGAAUUUACUUAUUUUGGAAUUGAAAAAUUAUAAAGUAAAAAAAAAAAAAAAUUAAUAAUUCGUGAGGCAAUUGAGUACAACAACUUUAAUCAAUUUUGCCCGUAGUGUUAUUAAUGAUAAUAAUGCUAUUUUUUAUUAAAAUUAAUUAUUAAAUAAUUUAAGACUAUAUUUAAAUAAUUUUGAAUUUAAUUAUAAACAAUAAUCAUGUUAAUUAUUAGAGUGCAUAAAUAUAUUAGGAUGAGGAAAAAGAACAGAGUAUAUAUAUAUAUAUAUAUAAUGUUACGUGUAAUUGUGUAAUUGAAAUAAUGCACUUCAGAAUUUUAGACAAAAAUUAGAAUUUUCUGUUUUAAUUAUCUAAUAAAUUAUAUAUGCACUUAGUUUUUUUUAUUUGGAAGAGUUUUAUUACUAUUUUUAAAUUAAAUAAACGUAAUUAAAUUUCACAUAAAUUUUAAAUUAUUAUAAACAUAAUUUAAAAUAAAAAAUUUAUAAAUAAAGUGACAUAAAUUGGUUAUUGCAUUCUGUCCAAAGGUGUGUUUUCUACUGCUUCUCCUUCACUCGCUCUCUCAACUCUCUCGCGCUCUCGCCCACGGGAAACUCCCCAUGGCCGCCGAAAAUCCGAUCCGAAUCGGCAUAAUGGGCUGUGCAGAAAUAGCGCGAAAGGUCUCGCGUGCCGUCACCUUGGCGCCUAACGCAACGCUGGCAGCCGUUGCCAGCCGCUCCAUCGAGAAGGCCACAGCCUUCGCGCGAGCCAACUGCUUCCCGGCUGAAGCCAAGAUCUACGGCUCCUACGAGGCCCUCCUUGAAGACCCCAACAUCGACGCCAUCUACUGCCCCCUCCCCACGGGUUUCCACGUGCAGUGGGCAGUGGCGAUCGCUCAGAAGGGUAAGCAUUUGUUGCUUGAGAAGCCGGUUGCGCUCAACGUCGCAGACUUUGACACGAUUCUCGAGGCCUGCGACGCUAAUGGCGUUCAGAUUAUGGACGGUACCAUGUGGAUGCAUCAUCCCCGGACGCAGAAGAUGAAGGAGUUCCUCUCUGAUCCGGAAUGUUUUGGGCAGCUCAAGACGGUAUUAUAUACCCACAUUAAUACUGAAUUCUUUAAUACUUGCAUGCAUUUUAAUGUUUUUUAUUAUUUCCCUGCUUCAAGCUUUAGCUGUCUCGACUUUUGUUUACUUGGGGUUUGGUGUGGAGUCCAAAUGGAAAUUAAAAAUUCAUAAUAAUACUCUCUCUUUCUCUCUCUCUUUCUCCGUUUUCCUACAUUUCUCUUGUUAUUACUUAAACUCUUUUAAGUUUUGGUUUGAUUCGUUAGAGUUUUUCUUUUUGGGUUAAAACCGAGUUAUUUUUGUUCUUUUGAAAAAUUCCCAUGAUUUUGGUAAUUACAGUUUGGGGUCAGUUCUUCUGGUUCUGACCUAGGCUUGAAUUCUGGGUUUGGGUUAAGACUCACUGGGUUUUCUUUGGGACCUACACUGAAGAGUUUGAAUGUGAUUCUAUCCAGUUUACUUCCCCAAGAAACUUCCGCUGCUACUCGAUUCUUAAAUUUAAACUGUUGAAAUAUACUAAUUAUGAAGAUGCAGCUCAAAAACAGUUUUAGAAUAAGAAUCCGUAGAUAAAAUAAAUAGUUAAGUGAAGGUAAUACUUUAGAUCCGUGUUCAAGUUAAGUUAGAGAGACUUAUGAACGAAUUAUACCUUGAUAAGCACAUGGAAAUUUAUCCUUAUGGAAUUAAUUAUUGUGUAGAGGUGGUUCAUCGCGAAUCAAAAAAUGAAAUUAUAAUUAAAUUCUAAAUAAUUAAGGUCUAAUGCUUCUUUGCUUGAUACUGAAUUCUGUAUGCAACAUGUGGACAAAUUAAGUACAACGAGAAGCUUGCAAUGGAUUAGGACAUCCAUGCAUAUUUCUUUUCUUUUCUUUUCUUCCUCUGUUGCCAGCGAUGUAUUAAUCAAACUAUCCUCUAGUAGAGGUUCAGGAUUAUUGUUACAUGGCAUGUGUUUGAAUGUGGAUUCUUAACCUUUGCAUUGUUUCUAUUCAAAUUUUUAGUUUCCGUCAUUACCUAAUGAUUUCUCCUUUUGGAUCCCACAGAUACACAGCUACUUCACAUUUUCUGCUGAUCCCGAUUUUCUCAAGAAUGAUGUUCGUGUUAAGCCAGAUCUCGAUGGUCUUGGUGCUCUUGGGGAUGCUGGAUGGUACUGUAUCAGAUCAAUCCUAUUUGCAGCUAACUACGAACUACCUAAAACUGUUGUUGCCUUGCGGGAGCCUGUUUUCAAUGAUGCUGGUGUAGUUCUUUCUUGUGGGGCAUCUCUACAUUGGGAAGAUGGGAAAGCAGCAACCUUCUAUUGCUCAUUCCUGGGAAACUUGACAAUGGAUGUUACUAUGAUAGGGACAAAGGGAACUCUUCAUAUCCAUGAUUUCAUCAUUCCUUU
Molecule: long non-coding RNA, 4220 nt
Filed under: Carica papaya (papaya)
Lineage: Eukaryota; Viridiplantae; Streptophyta; Magnoliopsida; Brassicales; Caricaceae
Description: long non-coding RNA (CPAP_LNC010559)
Source: RNAcentral